UACGGAGGAUGCGAGCGUUAUCCGGUAUUUAGUUGGGUUUAAAGGGUGCGCGAGGCGGGUAGUUUUAAGUCAGCGGUGAAAUUUUACCGAGGCUCAACCUGAACACUGCCGUUGAAACUGGGAUUCUUGAGUAUGGAUGAAGUAGGACGGAAUUCGUUUGUGUAGCGGUGACAUGCUUAGAUAUAACGAGGAACUCCGAUUGCGUAGGCAGCUUACUAAGCCAUAACUGACGCUCAAGCACGAAAGCGUGGGGAUCAAAGCAGGUAUUAGACUACCCCCGUAGU
This 284-nucleotide ribosomal RNA is filed under the name uncultured bacterium. RNAcentral describes it as "partial 16S ribosomal RNA". It matches the Rfam family "Bacterial small subunit ribosomal RNA", at positions 524 to 794 of the family's 1533-position model. The record is from RNAcentral.